Molecule: transfer RNA, 108 nt
Filed under: Blastomyces dermatitidis ATCC 18188
Lineage: Eukaryota; Fungi; Ascomycota; Eurotiomycetes; Onygenales; Ajellomycetaceae
Description: tRNA-Ala
Rfam family: tRNA
About the family: Transfer RNA (tRNA) molecules are approximately 80 nucleotides in length. Their secondary structure includes four short double-helical elements and three loops (D, anti-codon, and T loops).
Source: RNAcentral
GGGCGAUUGGUUUAGUGGUAUAAUACCCCCUUAGCAUCAGCUGGUCCAAUAAGAGCAGUUAGACAGCGCGACUGGGGGUGGUCCAGGGUUCGAUUCCCUGAUCGUCCA